Ribosomal RNA from Cavia aperea (Brazilian guinea pig), 119 nucleotides. NCBI's taxonomy places the organism in Eukaryota, Metazoa, Chordata, Mammalia, Rodentia, Caviidae. The record is from Ensembl.
GUCUAUGGUCAUACCACCCUGAACGCACCCCAUCUCGUCUGAUCUCGGAAGCUAAGCAGGGUCGGGCCUGGUUAGUAUUUGGAUGGGAGACUGUCUGGGAAUCCUGGGUGCUGUAGGCU